This 2515-nucleotide long non-coding RNA is filed under the name Manihot esculenta (cassava). Its description in RNAcentral is "long non-coding RNA (MESC_LNC008671)". Lineage: Eukaryota; Viridiplantae; Streptophyta; Magnoliopsida; Malpighiales; Euphorbiaceae. The record is from RNAcentral.
UCCAAUAUUAACUGCAUCCCCAGCUAGUAUGUUAUAGUGCCAUAGCCCAAAGUGCCACAAUACAUACGCUCUCCAAAAACAGUUACCACAUCCUGAAGAAGGAAUUGUAUGCUUUAAUAGCAAAGUAGAAUACUAAAGCCUUCUAAGCAUCUCCUUUUUAUGAGUGAUAUUGCUGACUUGACUACAAUCUUUUCUAAAAUGCUUCUUGAUAGCUAAUAGAUUUAAUUUUGUAAUUGUUGAAGGAAUCAACUCAAUUGCAAUUCGUUUUACAAAAUUUCACUAAAACUUUUAUACAUGUAUAUACAUAAAUAAUAUGUACUCAACCAUGUACUCUUAAUUAGACAGUCUCAAGGGUACAACUCUCUAGUAGUCUAUUUGGCAUCCCUAUUAGAGAUGUUAAGUGAAGUAACAUCUUAAAUAUGUUGAUUACAGGCCAAUAAAAUGGUUGCCCUUAUUCGUUAUGGUCAAAGCAAGAAAGAUUUUCCAGUCAUAGACUUCCUAUUUGUUGAGAGAGAUGAAGAGAGAAUAAAGUUUCCAACACUAUUCCUUUUACAUUACAUUAGUUGAUACAUAGUGAUUAAUGAAAGAACAGAAAUAGAUUUAGGAAGGUUGAAAUCAAUUAGUUCUCAACUUUAUUACAGGUUGUUUUACAUAGUGAAGAUAUGACAUGGGGGUUAUGCUUCAUGAAAAAUAAAGAUAUUUAUUAACCCAAUGCAGAAUUAAGGCGAGAAGCGACACUAGAGCGCCGGAGUCUCCUAUCACCUUAGGCAAGAGGCGAGAAGCCAGGACGGAGCCAAUUUUUAUUAUAUAUUUUAUAAAUAUACAUGUAUUUAUACAUAUAACGUAUCACCAACUAUAAUUUAUAUAUUUUAACUUUAACUAAAUAUUAAUUUAUUUAGUUACAUUAAAAUAUAUAAAAUAUAGUUGAUGAUACUCUAUGUUUAUAUACAAUGUAUAGAAGAUUAAUAUUAAUUUCUUAAUAUAUAUAUAUAAAGAAAAAUUAUAGUGAUUAUAAUUUAAUUAUUAUAAUUAUGAGUAAUAUAUAAUUAACUAUAAAUAAUUAAAUAAUAAUAAUAAAAUUAAUAAUUAAUUUAAGGGAGAAUUACUAUUUAGUCCCUUGAUCUUUAGGACUUUCAUUAGUUAGUCCCUAUAAUUCUUAAACCCAAUUAAAAUAUCCCUCAUUAUUUAUAAAUACAAUAAUUUAGUACUUCUGUUAACUUUUCUAUUAGUCAAAGAAAUUUACUAAUAGUCAAAUGAGCGAGACAAAUUUUAUCCUCAAAAUACCCCUAAAUAUUUCCAUUAAUCUUUUCCAGCCUUUUCACCCACUUAGAUUCAAGUAACAUAUCAUGCUUAAACGAAUCACUUUUUGUUCUCAAGGAUUCGAUUAUAGCAGAAAUGGCUUCUUCUCCACCAUUAUUUCGAAGGGCAAAGAGCAGCAUAGUGCUCAUACAUGACCUUUUCUUCAUCCAAAAGAGCUUCCUUUUUAAUUACUAACAUCAAUAAACAAUUUGACAAAUUAAUACAAAUGGCACGCCAAGAGCUUCUGACAAACUAAUACAAAUGGCACCAAGAGUUAACAUAUCUCAGCAUAUCAAACAGAAGAACAAGAAGAAGCUGGAGUGGCUGGGUCAACUGAUGUAAAGGGUGAUUUUUCAAUUCUAAAUUAUUCAUUACAAGUGCUUGCAACAUUCAUUUCCUCAAUUCGCUUGAGAGACAAUUACAAAUUUUCUCUAACCCUUUGACCUGGAUCUACAAAUAAACUAUUCUUUAAAAGAGAAAUAUUACUCUCUAAAUCAAUGGCACCAAGAACUUUUACAGCCUGUAAUGAAACAAUACAAUUUGCAUUUGGGUAUUAAACACUUAUUUAUAAAAGAGAAAAUAGAGACUAUAAUUUAAUAAAAAACCUAACUUCAUAACCAACAAUAGGAUGCAAAGAAAGACCAUUUAAAAUUGAUGCUAAAGUAGGUAUAGCUUCAAAAUCUUGCAUUUGACCCAAUGCAAAGGCUGCCUCGUGCUAGCAAAUUUGAAGAAUCCAUUGUUGCUAAAAUGGGGAGAAAAUUUUCUAAUAAAAGAAGAAAGAAGACAGAUGUGUCAAUGGACUGGAAAAGAACUAAGCAAUUCACUCAACAAAUUCUAAUUAGAGAAUAUUGCUUUGUUAGGGUUAGGGAUUGCAAGGUGAAUGUGUUAUUUAAAAGAGCGAUAAGGGCAUUUUUACUUUUCUACCUCAACUAACGGAACCUGUUAAGAUAAUUUAACAGAAGGACUAGAUUGUUAUAUUUAUGAAUAAUGAAUGGCAUUUUAAUUGGGCUUAAGAAUUAUAGGGAUCAACUAAUGAAUUUCUUAAAAAUUUAGGAACUAAAUAAUAAUUCUCCCUUAAUUAAAUAAUAAUAUUAACUAAUAAUAAAAUAAUAUAUAAAUUUCUAAGUUAUAUAUACUAUAUAAUAUAAUAAUCUAUAUGAUAAAUAAUAAUAUUAGUUGAUAUAGAAUAUAAAUAUAAAAUAUAAUUCUAAUAUAG